RNAcentral lists this ribosomal RNA (2103 nucleotides) under human oral metagenome. RNAcentral's name for it is "bacterial LSU rRNA". It matches the Rfam family "Bacterial large subunit ribosomal RNA", at positions 831 to 2925 of the family's 2925-position model. The record is from RNAcentral.
AAACAAACCUGGAAAUAGCUGGCUCUCCCCGAAAUGCCUUUAGGGACAGCCUCAUACAAAGCUUUAGGAGGUAAAGCACUGGCUGGUCUAGGGGGUGUCAAAGCCUACCGAAACCAAUCAAACUCUGAAUGCCUAAAGCCAACGUAUGGGAGUGAGACUGUGUGCGCCAAGGUUCAUAGUCGAGAGGGAAACAGCCCGGACCGGCAUCUAAGGUCCCUAAAUAAUGCUAAGUGUAAAAUGAAGUGCGGAUGCACAGACAGCCAGGAGGUUGGCUUAGAAGCAGCCAUUCCUUAAAAGAGUGCGUAACAGCUCACUGGUCGAGCAUCCGUGCGCAGACAAUGUAACGGGGCUUAAGCAUUAUACCGAAGAUCCGGAAUCAUGCCGUAAGGUAUGAUUGGUAGGGGAGCAUUCCAUUAACUGAAGAAGAAGUACCUGUGAGGGGCUUUGGAGGAGAUGGAAGAGAGAAUGCAGGCAUAAGUAACGAAAAGACGGGUGAGAUUCCCGUCCGCCGAAAACCUAAGGUUUCCAGGGUAAAGGCAAUCUGCCCUGGGUAAGUCGGCCCCUAAGGCCAGGGAGAAAUCCGUAGCCGAUGGGAAUCCGGUUCAUAAUCCGGAACCUGGUUUAUUUUGAAGCCGUGACGCAUGAGGUGAAAUCCGGCCGGAGAACGGUAGUUCCGGUCUAAGCCGUAAGUUGUUGAAGAAGGGGUUAAAUGACUUUCUGAGACGAGCGGUGAAAGCGAGGGGAGAGAAAGUCGAACUGAAGCGGACGUAAUCAUGGUGACGAGAAAGAGCGGCUAGGUGUGGUAGAUUGGACCGUACCGUAAACGGACACACGUAGGUGGGAUGAGAAAUCUAAGGCGCACGAGCGACCUCGCGUUAAGGAACUCGGCAAAAUGCACACGUAACUUCGGAAGAAGUGUGGCUCCUGUUUGAAAGGAUAAGGAGCGGCAGAAAGCAGGCCCAGGCGACUGUUUAUCAAAAACACAGCCAUCUGCGAACCAGCAAUGGGACGUAUAGGUGGUGACACCUGCCCGGUGCCGGAAGGUUAAGGGGAGAGGUUAGCAGCAAUGUGAAGCUUUGAAUUGAAGCCCCGGUAAACGGCGGCCGUAACUAUAACGGUCCUAAGGUAGCGAAAUUCCUUGUCGGGUAAGUUCCGACCCGCACGAAUGGUGUAACGAUUCUGGGCACUGUCUCAACGCGAGACUCGGUGAAAUUUAUAUUCCGGUAAAGAAGCCGGAUACCCAUAAUUAGACGGUAAGACCCCGUGAACCUUCACCGUAACUUAGCAUGGGGAUCUUAUUCAUCAUGUGUAGGAUAGCUGGGAGGCAGUGAAGCGUGGGCGUCAGCUUGCGCGGAGCCAAUGGUGAAAUACCAGCCUUGAUGAAUGGGAUUUCUAACCCGCUCCUUGAAGCAGGGGCAGGGGACAAUGCUAGGCAGGCGGUUUGACUGGGGCGGUCGCCUCCUAAAAUGUAACGGAGGCGCGCGAAGGUCUCCUCACCGUGGUUGGAAAUCACGGCGCGAGUGUAAAGGCACAAGGAGGCUUGACUGCGAGAAAGACAUUUCGAGCAGGUGCGAAAGCAGGUCUUAGUGAUCUGGCGAUACCGAGUGGAAGGGUCGUCACUUAACGGACAAAAGGUACUCCGGGGAUAACAGGCUGAUUUUCCCCAAGAGUUCACAUCGACGGGAAAGUUUGGCACCUCGAUGUCGGCUCAUCGCAUCCUGGGGCUGGAGCAGGUCCCAAGGGUUUGGCUGUUCGCCAAUUAAAGCGGUACGUGAGCUGGGUUCAGAACGUCGCGAGACAGUUCGGUCCCUAUCUGUUAUGGGCGUUGGAAGUUUGAGAGGGGCUGCUUUUAGUACGAGAGGACCGAAGUGGACGAACCUCUGGUAUACCGGUUAUCCUGCCAAGGGUAAGUGCCGGGUGGCUAAGUUCGGAAGGGAUAACCGCUGAAAGCAUCUAAGCGGGAAGCCCGCCUCAAGAUAAGACUUCCCUGGGACUUUAAGUUCCCUAAAGACUCCGGAGACACUAUCCGGUUGAUAGGCCGCAGGUGCAGGUACGGCGACGUAUACAGCCGAGCGGUACUAAUAAGUCGUGAGGCUUGACCAU